This 312-nucleotide ribosomal RNA is filed under the name Humboldtiana durangoensis. RNAcentral's name for it is "partial 16S ribosomal RNA". The record is from RNAcentral. Lineage: Eukaryota; Metazoa; Mollusca; Gastropoda; Stylommatophora; Humboldtianidae.
CUGUCUAUUAGUAACAUAUUUAACUUACUAAAGAGGUGUAAAUACCUCUAUAAUAAUAAAAGACGAGAAGACCCUAGAAAUUUUAUAUAAAGUGUAUUAUUUAUUUAUACUAUCAUUUUGUUGGGGCGACAGAAUUGCAACUAACCUAUUUUAAGUUAUACAUGAUGUUUUUAUAAAGACAGUAAAAAUUAGUCUAGGGAUAACAUUAUAAAAAUUUAAUAGUUUGUGACCUCGAUGUUGGACUAGGGAAGGUUUUAUUCAUAAGAUUAAAUCUCAUGUUCUGUUCCAACAAAUAUCCUUACCUGAUCUGAG